Molecule: ribosomal RNA, 500 nt
Filed under: uncultured bacterium
Lineage: Bacteria
Description: bacterial SSU rRNA
Rfam family: Bacterial small subunit ribosomal RNA
Source: RNAcentral
CUACGUGCCAGCAGCCGCGGUAAUACGUAGGUCCCGAGCGUUGUCCGGAUUUAUUGGGCGUAAAGCGAGCGCAGGCGGUUAGAUAAGUCUGAAGUUAAAGGCUGUGGCUUAACCAUAGUACGCUUUGGAAACUGUUUAACUUGAGUGCAAGAGGGGAGAGUGGAAUUCCAUGUGUAGCGGUGAAAUGCGUAGAUAUAUGGAGGAACACCGGUGGCGAAAGCGGCUCUCUGGCUUGUAACUGACGCUGAGGCUCGAAAGCGUGGGGAGCAAACAGGAUUAGAUACCCUGGUAGUCCACGCCGUAAACGAUGAGUGCUAGGUGUUAGACCCUUUCCGGGGUUUAGUGCCGUAGCUAACGCAUUAAGCACUCCGCCUGGGGAGUACGGCCGCAAGGUUAAAACUCAAAUGAAUUGACGGGGGCCCGCACAAGCGGUGGAGCAUGUGGUUUAAUUCGAUGCAACGCGAAGAACCUUACCUACUCUUGACAUCCAGAGAACAUUC